Molecule: transfer RNA, 85 nt
Filed under: Longimicrobium terrae
Lineage: Bacteria; Pseudomonadati; Gemmatimonadota; Longimicrobiia; Longimicrobiales; Longimicrobiaceae
Also listed under: 4 other names
Rfam family: tRNA
About the family: Transfer RNA (tRNA) molecules are approximately 80 nucleotides in length. Their secondary structure includes four short double-helical elements and three loops (D, anti-codon, and T loops).
Source: Rfam by way of RNAcentral
GGAGGGAUGGCAGAGCGGUUGAAUGCACCGGUCUUGAAAACCGGCGGGUGGCGACACCUCGUGGGUUCGAAUCCCACUCCCUCCG